UACGUAGGGUGCAAGCGUUGUCCGGAAUUAUUGGGCGUAAAGAGCUCGUAGGCGGUCUGUCGCGUCGGCUGUGAAAACCCGAGGCUCAACCUCGGGCCUGCAGUCGAUACGGGCAAACUAGAGUACUGCAGGGGAGACUGGAAUUCCUGGUGUAGCGGUGAAAUGCGCAGAUAUCAGGAGGAACACCCGUGGCGAAAGCGGCUCUCUGGGACGGUACUGACGCUGAGACGCGAAAGCGUGGGGAGCAAACAGG
RNAcentral lists this ribosomal RNA (253 nucleotides) under uncultured bacterium. Its description in RNAcentral is "partial 16S ribosomal RNA". It matches the Rfam family "Bacterial small subunit ribosomal RNA", at positions 524 to 776 of the family's 1533-position model. The record is from RNAcentral.